Molecule: ribosomal RNA, 504 nt
Filed under: uncultured Planctomycetota bacterium
Lineage: Bacteria; Pseudomonadati; Planctomycetota
Description: bacterial SSU rRNA
Rfam family: Bacterial small subunit ribosomal RNA
Source: RNAcentral
GGAUUAGGCAUGCAAGUCGAACGGGAUCCGGGGGGUAGCAAUACUCUCCGGUGAGAGUGGCGGAAGGGCGAGGAGCACGUGGACAACCUGUCCCGUGGGUGGGGAUACCGUCCCGAAAGGGGCGUUAAUACCGAAUGGGGCGCCGGGCCGCAUGGCCCGGACGCCAAAGGCGGGGACCGCAAGGCCCGCCCCCCCGGGAGGGGUCCGCGCACCAUCAGCUAGACGGCGGGGUAACGGUCCACCGUGGCUUACGGUUAGCUGGUCUGAGAGGACGACCAGCCGCACUGGGACUGAGACACUGCCCAGACUCCUACGGGAGGCUGCAGUCGAGGAUCAUUCGCAAUGGGCGAAAGCCUGACGAUGCGACGCUGCGUGGAGGAUGAAGGCCCUCGGGUCGUAAACUCCUGUCAUGGGGGGCGAGGCGGAGGCGGUCAACAGCCGCCCGAGUUGACGGUACCCCAAGAGGAAGCCACGGCUAACUCUGUGCCAGCAGCCGCGGUAAUA